UACAGAGGUCCCGAGCGUUGUUCGGAUUCAUUGGGCGUAAAGGGUGCGUAGGUGGCGCCGUAAGUGGGGUGUGAAAUCCCCGGGGCUUAACCCCGGGACUGCAUUUCCAUACUGCGGUGCUUGAGGACUGGAGAGGAGACUGGAAUUUACGGUGUAGCAGUGAAAUGCGUAGAGAUCGUAAGGAAGACCAGUGGCGAAGGCGGGUCUCUGGA
This 212-nucleotide ribosomal RNA is filed under the name uncultured bacterium. RNAcentral's name for it is "partial 16S ribosomal RNA". It matches the Rfam family "Bacterial small subunit ribosomal RNA", at positions 524 to 733 of the family's 1533-position model. The record is from RNAcentral.